UAGGAAUAUUACAAUGAUGGUGAGUUCUGA
RNAcentral lists this non-coding RNA (30 nucleotides) under Rattus norvegicus (Norway rat). The record is from RNAcentral. Lineage: Eukaryota; Metazoa; Chordata; Mammalia; Rodentia; Muridae.